UAUCUUUAUGAAAAGCGUUAAAGCUUUUUUUUUCAAAAUAAAGUAGAAGAUUUUAUAUGAAAAUUUGAUGUUAUAAAGUAAAAUAAUGGAAAAUUUUAUAAGGUUAGAAGGUAUAAUGCUAAAAUUAGUAAGGAAAAAUAGGUUACUUGAGAAUUAAUUUGAGUCUAAUUUUGGAUGAAGAAACACAUAGAAAUACAAGAAAAUUGGUUUAUAUUUAUCGUCUUCCAACUCAGGAAACUAGGUUUUAUACAACUAAAGGAAAGGAACUCGGCAAAGUAAAUUUNNNNNNNNNNNNNNNNNNNNCGCUCCCUGAAAAUAAAAUUAAUAUAUAGGGGGUUCUGCCUGCCCAGUGACAAUAGUUAAACGGCCGCGGUAUUUUGACCGUGCAAAGGUAGCAUAAUCAUUUGCCUUUUAAAUGGAGGCUGGUAUGAAUGGCAAGACGGGAAUUUAGCUGUCUCUCUUUUAGUAUCUUGAAUUUAAUAUCUUUGUGAAGAAGCGAAGAUUAGUUCGUAGGACGAGAAGACCCUAUUGAGCUUAAGUUAAAAAUUAUUAACACAGAGGUUUUAUUUUUAGGCUAAUUAAAAAUAAAAGUAAUUUUAUCUUAAAAUAGAAGGGUGUUGUUUAAUUGGUACUUUGGUUGGGGCAAUCGCGGAGAAAAUUAAUCCUCCGAUAUAAAUUUGAAGCAAAAAAUUACUAUUUUAAAGUAAUAAUUAAAUUAUAAAAAAUGAUCCACUUGUUUAAAGUGAUCAAAGGAAAAAGUUACCRUAGGGAUAACAGCGUAAUUUUUUUGGAGAGUUCAUAUUGAUAAAAAAGUUUGCGACCUCAAUGUUGGAUCGGGACUUCCAGGAAAUGCAGCAGUUUCUAAGGGUUGGUCUGUUCGACCAUUAAAGUCCU
RNAcentral lists this ribosomal RNA (894 nucleotides) under Psilaster cassiope. Its description in RNAcentral is "partial 16S ribosomal RNA". It matches the Rfam family "Bacterial large subunit ribosomal RNA", at positions 1207 to 2597 of the family's 2925-position model. Lineage: Eukaryota; Metazoa; Echinodermata; Asteroidea; Paxillosida; Astropectinidae. The record is from RNAcentral.